This 465-nucleotide ribosomal RNA is filed under the name Vreelandella stevensii. RNAcentral's name for it is "partial 16S ribosomal RNA". It matches the Rfam family "Bacterial small subunit ribosomal RNA", at positions 338 to 795 of the family's 1533-position model. Lineage: Bacteria; Pseudomonadati; Pseudomonadota; Gammaproteobacteria; Oceanospirillales; Halomonadaceae. The record is from RNAcentral.
CCUACGGGGGGCAGCAGUGGGGAAUAUUGGACAAUGGGCGAAAGCCUGAUCCAGCCAUGCCGCGUGUGUGAAGAAGGCCUUCGGGUUGUAAAGCACUUUCAGUGGGGAAGAAAGCCUUGGGGCUAAUACCCUCGAGGAAGGACAUCACCCACAGAAGAAGCACCGGCUAACUCCGUGCCAGCAGCCGCGGUAAUACGGAGGGGGCGAGCGUUAAUCGGAAUUACUGGGCGUAAAGCGCGCGUAGGCGGUCUGAUAAGCCGGUUGUGAAAGCCCCGGGCUCAACCUGGGAACGGCAUCCGGAACUGUCAGGCUAGAGUGCAGGAGAGGAAGGUAGAAUUCCCGGUGUAGCGGUGAAAUGCGUAGAGAUCGGGAGGAAUACCAGUGGCGAAGGCGGCCUUCUGGACUGACACUGACGCUGAGGUGCGAAAGCGUGGGUAGCAAACAGGAUUAGAUACCCGAGUAGUC